RNAcentral lists this ribosomal RNA (429 nucleotides) under uncultured archaeon. RNAcentral's name for it is "bacterial SSU rRNA". It matches the Rfam family "Archaeal small subunit ribosomal RNA", at positions 474 to 903 of the family's 1478-position model. The record is from RNAcentral.
UACCAGCUCUCCGAGUGGUAGGGAUGAUUAUUAGGCUUAAAGCGUCCGUAGCCGGCUUAGCAAGUUUCCUGUUAAACUCAGCGACCUAAUCGUUGAAUCGCGGGAAAUACUACUGGGCUAGGAGGCGGGAGAGGUCGACGGUACUUCCGGGGUAGGGGUGAAAUCCUAUAAUCCCGGGAGGACCACCAGUGGCGAAGGCUGUCGACUAGAACGCGCUCGACGGUGAGGGACGAAAGCUGGGGGAGCGAACCGGAUUAGAUACCCGGGUAGUCCCAGCUGUAAACGAUGCGGGCUAGGUGUUGGGGUGGCUACGAGCCACUUCAGUGCCGCAGGGAAGCCAUUAAGCCCGCCGCCUGGGGAGUACGGCCGCAAGGCUGAAACUUAAAGGAAUUGGCGGGGGAGCACCACAAGGCGUGAAGCUUGCGGUUC